RNAcentral lists this ribosomal RNA (367 nucleotides) under Nostoc sp. FACHB-892. RNAcentral's name for it is "bacterial SSU rRNA". It matches the Rfam family "Bacterial small subunit ribosomal RNA", at positions 1 to 397 of the family's 1533-position model. The record is from RNAcentral. Lineage: Bacteria; Bacillati; Cyanobacteriota; Cyanophyceae; Nostocales; Nostocaceae.
AAAACGGAGAGUUUGAUCCUGGCUCAGGAUGAACGCUGGCGGUAUGCUUAACACAUGCAAGUUGAACGGUGCCUUAGGGCACAGUGGCGGACGGGUGAGUAACGCGUGAGAAUCUAGCUUUAGGUCUGGGACAACCACUGGAAACGGUGGCUAAUACCGGAUGUGCCGAGAGGUGAAAGGUUAACUGCCUGAAGAUGAGCUCGCGUCUGAUUAGCUAGUUGGAAGUGUAAUGGACUCCCAAGGCGACGAUCAGUAGCUGGUCUGAGAGGACGAUCAGCCACACUGGGACUGAGACACGGCCCAGACUCCUACGGGAGGCAGCAGUGGGGAAUUUUCCGCAAUGGGCGAAAGCCUGACGGAGCAAUAC